This 490-nucleotide ribosomal RNA is filed under the name uncultured bacterium. RNAcentral describes it as "partial 16S ribosomal RNA". It matches the Rfam family "Bacterial small subunit ribosomal RNA", at positions 30 to 507 of the family's 1533-position model. The record is from RNAcentral.
AUUGAACGCUGGCGGCAGGCCUAACACAUGCAAGUCGAACGGUAACAGGAAGCAGCUUGCUGCUUCGCUGACGAGUGGCGGACGGGUGAGUAAUGUCUGGGAAACUGCCUGAUGGAGGGGGAUAACUACUGGAAACGGUAGCUACUACCGCAUAACGUCGCAAGACCAAAGAGGGGGACCUUAGGGCCUCUUGCCAUCGGAUGUGCCCAGAUGGGAUUAGCUAGUAGGUGGGGUAACGGCUCACCUAGGCGACGAUCCCUAGCUGGUCUGAGAGGAUGACCAGCCACACUGGAACUGAGACACGGUCCAGACUCCUACGGGAGGCAGCAGUGGGGAAUAUUGGACAAUGGGCGCAAGCCUGAUGCAGCCAUGCCGCGUGUAUGAAGAAGGCCUUCGGGUUGUAAAGUACUUUCAGCGGGGAGGAAGGGAGUAAAGUUAAUACCUUUGCUCAUUGACGUUACCCGCAGAAGAAGCACCGGCUAACUCCGUG